CCUACGGGUGGCAGCAGUCGAGAAUCAUUCACAAUGGGGGAAACCCUGAUGGUGUGACGCCGCGUGGGGGAAUGAAGGUCUUCGGAUUGUAAACCCCUGUCAUGUGGGAGCAAAUUAAAAAGAUAGUACCACAAGAGGAAGAGACGGCUAACUCUGUGCCAGCAGCCGCGGUAAUACAGAGGUCUCAAGCGUUGUUCGGAAUCACUGGGCGUAAAGCGUGCGUAGGCUGUUUCGUAAGUCGUGUGUGAAAGGCGCGGGCUCAACCCGCGGACGGCACAUGAUACUGCGAGACUAGAGUGAUGGAGGGGGAAGCGGAAUUCUCGGUGUAGCAGUGAAAUGCGUAGAUAUCGAGAGGAACACUCGUGGCGAAGGCGGGUUCCUGGACAUUAACUGACGCUGAGGCACGAAGGCGAGGGGAGCGAAAGGGAUUAGAUACCCCUGUAGUC
This 446-nucleotide ribosomal RNA is filed under the name uncultured bacterium. RNAcentral's name for it is "partial 16S ribosomal RNA". It matches the Rfam family "Bacterial small subunit ribosomal RNA", at positions 338 to 795 of the family's 1533-position model. The record is from RNAcentral.